Molecule: ribosomal RNA, 414 nt
Filed under: uncultured microorganism
Description: bacterial SSU rRNA
Rfam family: Archaeal small subunit ribosomal RNA
Source: RNAcentral
CAGCCGCCGCGGUAAUACCGGCGGCCCGAGUGGCGGUCACUAUUAUUGGGCUUAAAGCGUCCGUAGCCGGGUUGGGAAGUCCUCCGGGAAAUCUGGCCGCUUAACGGUCAGAAUGCCGGAGGAUACUCCCAGCCUAGGGAGCGGGAGAGGCCGAGGGGAUUCCCGGAGUAGGGGUGAAAUCCUAUAAUCCCGGGAGGACCAACUGUGGCGAAGGCGCUCGGCUGGAACGCGUCCGACGGUGAGGGACGAAGGCCAGGGGAGCAAACCGGAUUAGAUACCCGGGUAGUCCUGGCUGUAAACGAUGCGGACUUUGUGUCGGACAAGCUAUGAGCUUGUCCGGUGCCGGAGGGAAACCGUUAAGUCCGCCGCCUGGGGAGUACGGCCGCAAGGCUGAAACUUAAAGGAAUUGGCGGG